AAUUGUGCCUGUUCAGGGGAGACACCCUGAUCACAAAAGUGGUUUUCCCAGGACAAAGCUUAUCAAUUGCACUCUGGAUGUGCUAACCCCUGCAAUUUCCCCAAAAGUGGGGAAACUUGACUGCAUGAUUUGUGGUAGUGGGGGACUGCAUUCUCACUCUCCCUGU
Molecule: small nuclear RNA, 166 nt
Organism: Sorex fumeus (smoky shrew)
Lineage: Eukaryota; Metazoa; Chordata; Mammalia; Eulipotyphla; Soricidae
Product: U1 spliceosomal RNA
Exons: 1
Source: RefSeq, a predicted model, not a curated record